This 388-nucleotide long non-coding RNA is filed under the name Trifolium pratense (red clover). RNAcentral describes it as "long non-coding RNA (TPRA_LNC006257)". Lineage: Eukaryota; Viridiplantae; Streptophyta; Magnoliopsida; Fabales; Fabaceae. The record is from RNAcentral.
CAUAAUUAAAUAUCACAUAAGAAUUGAAACUUCAAGUGAAUAACUUCAUUACAAAAUAAAUUUGCUGCAGAUUUAGUGCAAAAUAGCACAUAAGAAUUUCAUAAUAUAGUGCAUAAUAUCAUUACAUGAUUCCAAAAAGAGCAUAUAUAGUGCAAAAUUCAUUACAUGAUUUCAAAAGAGGUGCAUCAGUCAUUCCAAAAUGGCACAUAAAGUGCAUCACUGAUUACAUAAUGAAAAACAGAAGUCAUUACUAAUUAACAUCAUAACUACUUUGAAAUUUUGUUCCAAGACUUCAUAGCUCUAAAACAGGUUUCAAGCUUUGAUUCAUUUCCCAGGACCUAUAGUUGGUUUUUUAACCCAAUUAGCCUUCUGCCUUUCACUUUGUCUU